AAGACCUUGCGCUUUUGGAGCGGCCGAUGUCUGAUUAGCUUGUUGGUGAGGUAAAGGCUUACCAAGGCUUCGAUCAGUAGCUGGUCUGAGAGGACGGCCAGCCACACUGGGACUGAGACACGGCCCAGACUCCUACGGGAGGCAGCAGUGGGGAAUUUUGGACAAUGGGGGCAACCCUGAUCCAGCCAUGCCGCGUGAGUGAAGAAGGCCUUCGGGUUGUAAAGCUCUUUCAGCCGGAACGAAACGGUUACGGUUAAUACCCGUGACUACUGACGGUACCGGAAGAAGAAGCACCGGCUAACUACGUGCCAGCAGCCGCGGUAAUACGUAGGGUGCGAGCGUUAAUCGGAAUUACUGGGCGUAAAGCGUGCGCAGGCGGCUCUUCAAGUCAGAUGUGAAAGCCCCGGGCUUAACCUGGGAACU
RNAcentral lists this ribosomal RNA (423 nucleotides) under uncultured bacterium. RNAcentral's name for it is "bacterial SSU rRNA". It matches the Rfam family "Bacterial small subunit ribosomal RNA", at positions 207 to 622 of the family's 1533-position model. The record is from RNAcentral.